Molecule: long non-coding RNA, 467 nt
Organism: Osmia lignaria (orchard mason bee)
Lineage: Eukaryota; Metazoa; Arthropoda; Insecta; Hymenoptera; Megachilidae
Source: RefSeq, a predicted model, not a curated record
CCGACUAUCGGGAGGCCGCGAAAAGUACUCGACAACUUAUCGACUGCAAGAGUAUAAAAUCCUCCGCUUGCAGUCGAUAAUCUGUCGAGUAGUUUCAGCGGCUUCCUGAUAGAGGGCGACAGUGUUUCCCCGUUGGAAUACUUUGUAGAACGAAAUACGAAAUAUUUCGUUUUUUGGCGAAAAAAGGAACUUUUGGGCAUUUCCAAGGCUGCUAAAUGAUCCUACGUUCUCAAAUAUACAGAGAAUAUAAGAUACAUCGCAUCAUCGAAGAGGAGACUAGCUGUCUCGAAGCUCACUCACCGCUUAUCGAGCACGACGAUCGUCUGAACUACAAAAUUGAAGGGAAUUGAACAGACACCUAGCUGACUCGUGAUCAACUCCACAAAAUUUUUCUAUAACAAAUAAAUUUCAAGUUAUUUCAAUUGUAACUAUGUAUCUAAUCAAAAUGACGUUAAAGAAAAAAAAAA